This 1407-nucleotide ribosomal RNA is filed under the name Pediococcus acidilactici. RNAcentral's name for it is "bacterial SSU rRNA". It matches the Rfam family "Bacterial small subunit ribosomal RNA". The record is from RNAcentral. Lineage: Bacteria; Bacillati; Bacillota; Bacilli; Lactobacillales; Lactobacillaceae.
ACUUCCGUUAAUUGAUUAUGACGUGCUUGCACUGAAUGAGAUUUUAACACGAAGUGAGUGGCGGACGGGUGAGUAACACGUGGGUAACCUGCCCAGAAGCAGGGGAUAACACCUGGAAACAGAUGCUAAUACCGUAUAACAGAGAAAACCGCCUGGUUUUCUUUUAAAAGAUGGCUCUGCUAUCACUUCUGGAUGGACCCGCGGCGCAUUAGCUAGUUGGUGAGGUAACGGCUCACCAAGGCGAUGAUGCGUAGCCGACCUGAGAGGGUAAUCGGCCACAUUGGGACUGAGACACGGCCCAGACUCCUACGGGAGGCAGCAGUAGGGAAUCUUCCACAAUGGACGCAAGUCUGAUGGAGCAACGCCGCGUGAGUGAAGAAGGGUUUCGGCUCGUAAAGCUCUGUUGUUAAAGAAGAACGUGGGUGAGAGUAACUGUUCACCCAGUGACGGUAUUUAACCAGAAAGCCACGGCUAACUACGUGCCAGCAGCCGCGGUAAUACGUAGGUGGCAAGCGUUAUCCGGAUUUAUUGGGCGUAAAGCGAGCGCAGGCGGUCUUUUAAGUCUAAUGUGAAAGCCUUCGGCUCAACCGAAGAAGUGCAUUGGAAACUGGGAGACUUGAGUGCAGAAGAGGACAGUGGAACUCCAUGUGUAGCGGUGAAAUGCGUAGAUAUAUGGAAGAACACCAGUGGCGAAGGCGGCUGUCUGGUCUGUAACUGACGCUGAGGCUCGAAAGCAUGGGUAGCGAACAGGAUUAGAUACCCUGGUAGUCCAUGCCGUAAACGAUGAUUACUAAGUGUUGGAGGGUUUCCGCCCUUCAGUGCUGCAGCUAACGCAUUAAGUAAUCCGCCUGGGGAGUACGACCGCAAGGUUGAAACUCAAAAGAAUUGACGGGGGCCCGCACAAGCGGUGGAGCAUGUGGUUUAAUUCGAAGCUACGCGAAGAACCUUACCAGGUCUUGACAUCUUCUGCCAACCUAAGAGAUUAGGCGUUCCCUUCGGGGACAGAAUGACAGGUGGUGCAUGGUUGUCGUCAGCUCGUGUCGUGAGAUGUUGGGUUAAGUCCCGCAACGAGCGCAACCCUUAUUACUAGUUGCCAGCAUUCAGUUGGGCACUCUAGUGAGACUGCCGGUGACAAACCGGAGGAAGGUGGGGACGACGUCAAAUCAUCAUGCCCCUUAUGACCUGGGCUACACACGUGCUACAAUGGAUGGUACAACGAGUCGCGAAACCGCGAGGUUUAGCUAAUCUCUUAAAACCAUUCUCAGUUCGGACUGUAGGCUGCAACUCGCCUACACGAAGUCGGAAUCGCUAGUAAUCGCGGAUCAGCAUGCCGCGGUGAAUACGUUCCCGGGCCUUGUACACACCGCCCGUCACACCAUGAGAGUUUGUAACACCCAAAGCCGGUGG